AUUGAACGCUGGCGGCAGGCCUAACACAUGCAAGUCGAACGAGUGGCGGACGGGUGAGUAAUGUCUGGGAAACUGCCUGAUGGAGGGGGAUAACUACUGGAAACGGUAGCUAAUACCGCAUACCAUCGGAUGUGCCCAGAUGGGAUUAGCUAGUAGGUGGGGUAAAGGCUCACCUAGGCGACGAUCCCUAGCGGGUCUGAGAGGAUGACCAGCCACACUGGAACUGAGACACGGUCCAGACUCCUACGGGAGGCAGCAGAGGGGAAUAGUGCACAGUGGGCGAAAGCCGGAUGCAGCCAUGCCGCGUGUAUGAAGAAGGCCUUCGGGUGUUAAAGUACUUUCAGCGGGGAGGCGUUACCCGCAGAAGAAGCACCGGCUAACGCCGUGCCAGCAGCCGCGGUAAUUC
Molecule: ribosomal RNA, 406 nt
Filed under: uncultured bacterium
Lineage: Bacteria
Description: partial 16S ribosomal RNA
Rfam family: Bacterial small subunit ribosomal RNA
Source: RNAcentral